This is a long non-coding RNA of Cyprinus carpio (common carp), 313 nucleotides long. The record is from Ensembl. Lineage: Eukaryota; Metazoa; Chordata; Actinopteri; Cypriniformes; Cyprinidae.
AUGGGGACUCAUUAUUCAGUCAGAGAUUAUUGUCCCUGCUUCUUUGCAGCCAGCGCAAUCACCUUCAGACUGCUUUCUGUCUGUAGCAGAGAUCAAGGCUGUUCUGCAGUUUUCUCAGCUGUAUUUAUUUAUUCUGUCAUCGCUGGGCUCUGCGCUUCAUCAAAACAAACAAACCCAUCAGCAGAUUUUUGGCAACAGAAAAGUCACUUUAUUCAGCCUUAGUGGCAUUUCUCCUCGCCUGCUUUACGUUUUAUCACUCGGCAGGAUAUUUCAUAGCUGCUGAGGUGAGGAUAGGCCUAUUUCUAGAAUACUG